CUGCAAUCUGUCAGGAGCACAAGAACCAGGAUGUGGUUGUAAUAUUCUGGUGUUGCAUGAUCUCGCUUUGCAUUGUACCUCUGACUUUACGACACUUUCUUUAGUUUAAAAUAACUAAAAUAAGAUAUAAAUAUAUCGACAGGGCUGAGGUUCAAGAGGAAAGAUGAACGGCAGAAAACGACACCCGGGAGAAGAGAAAGCAGAGGCAGAGAAGAAGAAGAAACUAAAAGUGACCCAACAUCAGGGACAUCCUCAUGGUCUGUACAAUCAGGGAGCCACAUGUUACCUCAACAGUGUCCUGCAAGUUCUCUUCAUGACAACAGAGAUCCAUGGCAGGUUGGAUGCAGAAUCACAGACCACAGAUCGAGAGCUGAGAAAAGUCUUUGAACAAUUGGAAGAGGCACCUUGUGAAACAAAAAACUUCACGAGGAGUUUUGAGAUUGAAAAUGUUUAUCAACAACGUGAUGCAGCCGAAUGCCUGGAGUUGAUUUUACAUCGUGUCAGCCCAAAGGUCUCUGAGGUUUUCCAAGGACAGCUGACACACACAACAACAUGCUCCGAAGGACACAGCAUCAACGAAGAGACAAACUCAUUCUGGACUCUUCCACUGUCACUAAAAGAUGCUCAUGAUGCACCCUACACGUACAGCGUGGAAAGCGGCUUUAAAAUGAUUUUCCAGACAAAAUCAUUCAGCGAAGACAACCUGGUGUACUGCAACGGAUGCCAAAAGAAAACAGGGGCCACCAGUGGAUGUGAGAUGGAGAAACAUCCUCAGAUCUUGACUCUACUCGUGAAGAGAUUUGACUUGGACCCCGUCACCAUGUCACAUGUCAAAUCAAACCGCUGUGUGGACGUACCACGCGCGUUACAGAGCAAGAACAAGGAGUACAAACUGUAUGGGAUGGUGAAUCACGUGGGCAGUCUAAGAGGGGGACAUUACACCGCCACCAUCCUGUCCAAGGAGGACGACACCUGGUAUGAGUUUAACGACGUGCACGUCAACAAGGUGAGGAUUCAUUUAACACAUCCAUUAAAGGGCACAUAUUCAAAAUCCACAACAACAAAAAGAAUAUUAAAAGAAUACUUGUUGAAUGUUCUUGUUUGUGUUGCAUGUGGCAGGUUCAAAAGCAACCAUUUGCAAAAACCAGCAGCUACAAGUAUGUUCCAUUAUUUCCACCAAUCUUACCUUAUGGUUUAUUUUAGUAGCAGUGCCGGAGCUUUCGAUCAAGUCAGAGUUGUGUUGUUCAAUGCAAACAAUCACUGUUCAACAGUUCCAGCACCGCAUAUCUGCUCGUGUACAGAGGUGAGAUCACACAAGUACAAAAGGAAUCAAUCGAGAGACAAGGAAAGAUGGGGAAAGAUGGGAUUCAAGAGGAGGAGGAUGCAAAACAGGAUACGGUUUCAAACUUCAACGAGGACAGAGAAGAUGAUCUCAGUCAACAACGCCCGGGAAAUCUGACAACAGCAGAGGAGAGGGAACAAAGUGUAAUACCAGUGGAAGAUGAUGCCACGAAUGAUGAGAGAUGUCCGUCGCCCAGGAGUUCAACCAACAUCAAGAUCGGGAUUUCUAUCGGUUUUGGUUUUGCAUUAAUUGUGAUAAUUUCUGUCAUUGUAACAUAUCUGCACAAGCCUUGACACAGAGAGAGAGAGCAGGGAUGUCAGCAUUGAACAUGGGUUCAAAAAUGUCUUCCAGCAAGAUUACACUUUCAAAACGCUAGUUGUUAAUGUUUUUAAUCAACUGUGCUUCUUUAUUUUUGUAUGCCAUUUAUUAAACUAUGUGAAGGCCAUGUGGAUGUUGACAAGUACUUAAAAAAAGUGGAACAAUAUAUCAUAAUGUUAUAUUUACCGUUUGUUUUGCCAUGUUUUCUCCUUAUCUUUAUGUGUGAAGCAGAACACUAGCUGAUAAUCAGAGUCAGGCCCACAACAAAUAAUGUUCAUGACUUUGCUGUAUUUCCUGUUCAAUAAAAAUUCAAAUGCAAA
Cottoperca gobio is the source of this 1980-nucleotide RNA transcript. It is a transcript of the gene named ubiquitin carboxyl-terminal hydrolase 21-like, with no coding region annotated. NCBI's taxonomy places the organism in Eukaryota, Metazoa, Chordata, Actinopteri, Perciformes, Bovichtidae. The record is from RefSeq and is a predicted model, not a curated record. The transcript is spliced from 9 exons.